RNAcentral lists this non-coding RNA (211 nucleotides) under Onchocerca ochengi. Its description in RNAcentral is "Eukaryotic large subunit ribosomal RNA". It matches the Rfam family "Eukaryotic large subunit ribosomal RNA", at positions 967 to 1170 of the family's 3401-position model. Lineage: Eukaryota; Metazoa; Nematoda; Chromadorea; Rhabditida; Onchocercidae. The record is from Rfam by way of RNAcentral.
UUUCCCUCAAGAUAGCUGGAGUGCGUUAUGAAGCUGUUAUAUUCGGUAAAGCGAAUGAUUAGAGGAAUUGUGGGACGAACGUCUUCAACCUAUUCUCAAACUUUCAAUGAGUAUGACGUCUUGCUUGCUUGAAUGGCACGUUGACAUUGAACGUGUGUUUCACGUGGGACCAUUUUAGGUAAACAGAAUUGACACGUUGUGGGAUGAAUCA